GCGCUGCCCGCCCGCCCGCAUGGAGACCGCCGCCCGUAGCGGGGCUGCCGCGCCGCGCCGCACCGCGGGGGUUAGGAAUGUUUUGGAACAGGAGGUCAGAAGAAGGGCAAUACAAAGUAAAGGAGCUUCAUGUAGACCGCUUAAAGAAGUUGACCGUGAUGGAAAAGAAGGGGGUAUCCCAUGUAACAAGAGAUCCGAUCAACAGUCAUCUGGCAGAGGACCGAAGGGAUGUCUUCUGUUCUAAAAAUAGCUAAGAAGUCAUACUGUUCACGUGGGAAGAGCAGGCUGCCCUUCACCCGCCCCCUUCAGCACCAUCAGAACUGGGUAGCUAAGUGAAUCACAAAAGCCUUUACUGUUUUCCUCCCAAGUACCUGUACCACCCCUCCUUGGCCGAGCGUUUGUUUUCUUUUUCACAAACGUUAGUCCCACAGCUAAAUCCCAGGAUCUUCCAGGACCUCAAGGAUGGGUUGGCCAUCGCUGUAUCCUGCCACAGGUAACAGUGCUCCCUCCAGCCAGGACUGCCCCAGCUGCGGUCCCCAGCACUGGACUUAGCCAGCCCCUUUCUGAGGGAGGCAGGAGAAGCAGGUGCCUCCUGUGCAGCCUGCCAAAACGGGGCUGGCUCUGCAGGGCUAAAAACGGGUGCUGGUUUUCAGUCAGCAACGGCAAGCGUGAAUUCACUCACAAAGUUUCUCUCUUAUUUGAGAGAUGCUGUGCUGUUAGGAUACCGCUCAGAAUAACAUUCGAUCAGAAUCUCGCCCUCAAAUGUCAAUACAUUAGGCUGGAGCUACAAGAGCGCGGGUAACCACUCGUACUGCAAACGUACAAUAGAAGUUAAUUCUCUGUCGAGCGCUGCGAGUGACAUAGUCUGUAACAUUUCCUUAAGUCAGUGACCAUGACCUUGGGAUGCAUACCAGUUAAAAAUAAGGUUUUACAAAUGCUUGGAAAUGCUAAGUGUUUCCCAUUACGUGGUUCAUUCAAAGCACUUAACGACUUUUCAAGUCCAUGUCAGUAGCUAUAUGAGACCAAAAAAUCCUCAUGGAGUCAUCUGGGAAAACGCAGAAGAAAAAAGCACAUCUGUCUUGUUUUAGCUUCCAACCUUGGAUCUGGAUUUUCUAAUUCUUCUUUUUCUGGGAAGGAAGGGGAAAAAAAGAAAGAAGAGUUUCUGCAGAAGCAUACAUCUCCUUCAGAACAGAAGCGUGUGCCCACUUGUGCAUACGCCUUUUUAUCAGUGUCCAGGUAUAAAAAUGACAAGAGGUAAGAAAAAGAUCUGCAGCCAUUUCUUUCUGCCUUCUGUGAUCUGCUGUCUGGCUUGGACCGUGCUUUGCAGGCUUGGAAAAAGACCAAAGAGGUGCCAAAGGAAAAAUAUAUGAAAAUGCAAGGUGUUGUUAUAGGUACCGUGAAGUGGGUCUGAAACAAAAACAUAGAAAGGCUAACAUUGCAGUGAAGUGUUCAGAAUUAGUUUCCUCGUUUACGCUGGGGUGGAUUCAGAGGAACUUGUAAUUACCAGUUUCCUCAGCAGUGAGACGCGAGGAAAUCCUAACAGCGUUGGAGUAAAGGACGAAAUUAUUGCAGACCGCAACUCCUUUACCAGUGGUUUCUCAAGGACGAGGGAAGGGCAUGUUCAUCACACCACGGGCCUUGUGCUUCCCUCUGCUGUGCGACCAAGAGAAAAGCACGGGCGUGCAGAAACCGUUUCCCGAGAUCCCGAUCGUCUGAAACGGUACUGUGGGCCUCUCUGGAGUGUACGGCCCUAGCAUCAACACUGUUUAUAAGACAAAUCUUAUAAAAAGGUCCAUUUUAGACGGAUGAGACAUUUUGUACUGAAAAAAAAAAUUUUUGACUUUGUACAA
Molecule: long non-coding RNA, 1850 nt
Organism: Gymnogyps californianus (California condor)
Lineage: Eukaryota; Metazoa; Chordata; Aves; Accipitriformes; Cathartidae
Exons: 5
Source: RefSeq, a predicted model, not a curated record